Molecule: long non-coding RNA, 18197 nt
Filed under: Triticum aestivum (bread wheat)
Lineage: Eukaryota; Viridiplantae; Streptophyta; Magnoliopsida; Poales; Poaceae
Description: long non-coding RNA (TAES_LNC023932)
Source: RNAcentral
AAGGACACAUAUAUAACUAUCAAACAUGUACCAGAGGAAAGAAACAAGAUAAUAUGACAGGGACAAAUAUAUAUCACAACACAAACAUAUAUAUUUUCACAUGAACAUAGUUAACACAGGAACUACGGUAUAAACAUAACCACACAUAUGGGAACAAAGUACUACACCAAGGUUCAGGUUACACGAGUGACAACACAAACGAAAUUACACAAGCCACUAAACUAGUACUCGCAGAUCAACAGAAGCAGCAAGACAGAGAGGAGAGGCUGCAGGGGAUUAGACUCCCCUGUGACGGUGUCUUGUCAGGGGCGUGAGUAGAAGUAGUGAAGGGGUUCAGAGAAGAAGCAUGAGCAGCGGCAGAGGGAGUAAGUAGCAGGAGCGCAUAGAGAAGAAGCAGCAGCAUGUAGCAGAUGCGUUCAGCAGGGGCAGCAGGAAAGAUGUGGGAGAGAGAGAGAUCGCAGCAGGUGAAGAGGAGAGGAACAAUAGCAAGGGGCGAAGGGCGUAGAAGAAUUGCAGGUUGAAGAUGGGAGGAGCAGCAGAAGGUUGAGGUAGGCGAGGCGAAACAGCAGGGAGCAGCGGAGGUAAGGGAAGAAAGGUAGCAGAGAGAGAUGGAGAAGGAGUGGAGUCGCAGGGAGGACCAGACGCCCGUCUGAUCGGGCGCACGAGGUGCGGCGGUGGAGCGGUGGCGCUGGGCAAUGCAGGUGGUGCUGGUGGCGGUGUGAGGUGCGGCUGGUGGUGGAAGGUGCUGGUGGCGCGCCGCCACGCCGGCCUCGCCGCGGCGGCGACCGGAUGUGGAGAAGAGUGGUGAGAGGGAGAGAGAUGAGAUGCCAGGCCCAAAGGGGAUCGAGGCUGCUACUAGGGAUUUUGACCCCUCCUCUAGUCUGCCACUUUUCUGAUUUGGCCCUUCUCCUUUCCUUCUUUCUUCCCAAGUCGAUCCCCUCCAUCUUUAGUUUUGGCCCCUGGUUUCUUCUUUCCUUCAUGCUCAGGUCCCUUUGUUCACUUCUUCCCUGCCCUUCUCUCUUCUCAAUAUCCAAUUCGUCCGAAUCUUGAAGAUUAUAGUGCCUUUGCACACAUUUCUGCAAAAUAGACCAAAGACUAGUAAAUGACCCUUUAUAUGAUUUUCAUGCAAAUAUUCAAUAUUUCACAUCAAGAAUUGAUGGUCAUAUCUCAAUAAACCGCAUAUUUGAGUGCCAAAAGAUUUAUAUGAAAUGUGCUUAUCAAGUUCCCCCACACUUAAAUCAUUGCUUGUCCUCAAGCAAAGGAAUAUGACAAGAGUAGGAUAGUGAAUAGUGAGCUGACUAGAGAAUGUCCAAGUGAAGUAGAUCUCUAAACAAUGCAUGCUUUGGACUUAGCUAGUGAAAAUCAAUGGUUAAGAGUGCUACAGAGCAAUAGGACACUAGUAAACUCAAUCAUUUUAAACUUUUACAAAGAUAAAAGUGGAUCAACAAGUUCAAAUGCUGAUUGCGCCAAAGGGUUCCUAAAGAGAGCAUGAUCCCCAAAAAAGCUUAUUACCCGGAACAUAACAUUAUGGUUGAAGCACUUAUUGAAUGUGAAGGAAGUAAUGAUAAUAUUUUAUCGAUCUCACCAAAGGAACAUACCACCAAUCCCAAGAACAUGGUAUACACCUGGCUCGACCAAUUAUUAGUUUUUUUGUUUGUCUCCCCAAAGGAACGUACCACCGAUCAUGAGAACAUGGUAUACACCUGGUUCGACAAUUACAUUUUUAUUUAUUUAUUACUGUCCAAGCUACCAGAUUUCACAUGCCACCGAUCCAGGGAACAUGACAUGCUACUGUAGGUAGACUAGACUUAUUCAUUAUAAGAUAUACUUUUUUUACUUUUCAAAUUAACAAAAACAAGAAUCAUCACUCAGCCAUGUCUGGUUCACAUACUACCGAUCCAGGGAACAUAGCAUGCUAAUCCAUAGUGGUAAGUGAUUGCUCUGAAUGGGAACACAAUAGGCACAAACUCAGCAUCUAACACUUAAUGAUCUAAGUGUAGCAUGGUAAAAGCAGAAAAUGAUUAAGUUUACUAGUGCACUAGGGAUUUGAGCACUCAAAACUAAUAGCUUUCACUACUUUCAGCCAAGCAAGCAGUGUGUAGAUCACUAGUUUACAAGGCAUUCAACAAUUAGUUCGCAUAUUCUCAUCAAGCACCAUAUGUCAAAUAAAAUUCAGUGGGGCAACAUUUAAGAAAUGGCUUAAUAAGCAACCCAAAUAACAUUUGAUUUUAGCAUGUAUCAAUGGAUGAUAUACUCGGAAUGGGUCAUGAAACAGCUCACGGGCACUAUGAAGUAGCACUCGCUUGAUCACUAUCUAAGCUGCUGCUCUUCUCCUUUGCUUCCUCAUGGAUGCUCCAGCUUCACUCUUCUUCGUGUGUGCCCCCUUGCUUCUCCUCAUCCCCAUGCUCUGAGUCCACCAGGGUCCCAAGGAAUGUCACCUUGAACCUGGUCAGCAUGAAGGGAACGAUGCAGAAGCAAAAAACCUAAAAGAACACUCCACAAAGGAGACGAUGCAAGCGGUAGGGAUAAUACCCUCCAAGUCAUCAAUCGAGUAUCCAAUUACAUAAGCAUAGCUAUAAAGCACAUGUUUAGGAUGGUAGAAAUCAGCAAGGUCAACACUAACAUGAGGAUGAUAUUUAUCAUUAAGCUCAAAACUAGCAUGGGAAUGAUAUGUUUCAUUAAGCAAAGGACUAGCAUGAGGAGAAUAAGUGUCAUCAUCAUAAAUGAGAGCAAUACCACCAACCGUGUAUGUAUCAUCAUAUCCAAGCAAAUGAGUUUUCAAAUCAAUCUUAAGUGAUGAUAUCAUGUAAUGCAAGGAAGUAGCAAAGAAAUUAUACGGACGCAUGCCAUCAAGAGGAUUAGAUAAACAUGCUACAUCACGCUCCUGUAUGACGAUGGGAAAAUGUAUUUCUGGUUCUUCAUCUUCAAUCACAUCAACUUCUUUUGCUUCUUCAAGAGUAAUAGAUGAUGAGUCUUCAAUUGAUUGCUUGGGCUUUCGAGGUCUGGAUCCUCUUGUUCGUCUUGUUCCUUGUUUUCCAGUUCAUCUUCUUCAAUCUGAGGUAUCUCUUCCUCAAGUCUCUUACUAUCUUGCGCAGCUAGAUGUGACAGUGUUGGAACCUCAUAUGUUUGACUAGAGAUCUCAGCAGCACUCAGCUCAAGGAGGGAUGAGAUAGUACUGCCAGCGUCGAUGUUCUUCUCAAUCUUCCUUACUUCUUCCACUAGCUCAUUCCCACUCUUGAUCUUCUUCAUUUCAUCUAGUAUCACCGGCCUAAUUGGAUCAUCUUCAGCACUCAAAGUGAACUCGAGACUAAGCAAUGUGAGCUUGUCUAUAUCAUCAAAAUCAUCUUGUGUGGGCACUUGUGUUGAAGGUGUUGGUUGACCAAAUGGAGGACCAUUUAACUCCAUUGGCAACAUCUCCUGGUGUUGAGGUAUAUGAGUAGGAAGUGAAUAAAAUUGUUCUGGUGCAUAAUUGUUGCUCUCCUCAUUGUACCUAAUUCCCUGCAAUGGAUAACUAGAGGCAAACGAUGAGAUCUCAGGGCUGUUGUUCCUAUAUGACAUAUUCUGGUUUUCAGGCCACCCAUAUGAGUAAUUGUUUUGGUAUGAGCUAGGCUGUGGGGCGAAGCUCAUGCCAUAACAAUCGGGAGGGUGAGAGUAACCACGCUGACAUUCAGCGGGUGAAUGGCCCUGAAAUCCACAAAUAUGGCAUGUAGGAGCAACAUAAGGAUGACCUCUAGAAUAAGGAUCAUAAGAGCUAGCCCUAUCCUCAAAAACUACUUCUCGCUGCCGAGCUAAAUCAUCUAAUCGAUGGGAAAUCUUACUUAUCAGUUCUUGAAUACUUUCCAUGCUGUUUGUAGUGUUGCUCGUAUAAGCAUGAUGACCUGAGUUCAAUGCCAUUUCCAAGAAGAAAAUCCAACUUACAAAAAAAGAGAAAAUAACUAGAACAGUGGUUAGGGGUUAGUUAUAUAUCACAUAUAAAUGUCGCAAAAAGAAAACAAUAAAAACCUAGUCUAUAGCCUAAUACGGUCACUCGACGCUAGUCCACGGCAAUGGCGCCAAAAUGAUCGAUUGUAAGUACAGUGGGAUAUUUCGCCCGAACCGCAAGUGUCGUGUUCUCCACAGGGACUAGGCGACGACAACAAUGCUCGGCUAAAGCUAGGUGUUGGGGAUAUAACUAUUAGGUAUGACCCACCCAGGAGGGGCCGGGUUAUACCUAUGGCAAUUCAUGAAGCCCAAGACAGCUCUGGAAGAUGGCGGUUCAGUUAAGGGCCCAAGGUCCAAAGGCGACUCAAGGCCCGUAGAGAUAAACCGCCAUAUGUACGUAACUUGUAUUGUAAGGCAGGGAUAGUUAGAGACCGAGCCGGACACUGUUUAUGAGCCGUCCGGGACUCUGUGAGCCUCUGGACGUCGACCUCUGUAUAUAAAGGGACGACCCGGCGGCGGUUCAGGGGGGAAGUAACAUCAGAUCGAAAGCUAGGUCAAGCGGAUUCGCUCCCUAGUAAUCAAAACAUAAGCAAUACCAUUUCAAACUGGAUUAGGACUUUACCUUCACCGUAAGGGGUCGAACCAGUAUAAACCCUCGUGUCCUUUGUCCUGUUUUAACCCCUUUAAGCUUCCUAGUUGCGAUGGCUCCACGAUUAAGUCCUUUCACUAGGACAUCUGCCGUGACAAUUCCACGACAGUUGGCGCCCAUCGUGGGGCAUGCGCAUGGUGGAUUUGAGUUCUUGAAGGGCAGCUUCGAAGGGCUCAAGGGAUACGCUGUGGGCCGGAUGACCAAGAGUCGUCGCGGCAAGCUCUACAUCGACGACGCAGGCUGCGGCCCCGACGCCGGCUCAAUUGAGUACGGGUACCGGGUCCCCUUCGGCGGAAUCCAUGUCUUCAUCGGCCAGAUCGGCAAGCCGGUCCUGAGCCGGACAUCUACACCGACAUCGUCGAGACGGCUCAGCGUGCGAAACCCGCCCGAGCUCAGCCCGCCAUGAAGCGUGCCUUCAUGGGAUGCAUCCAUGGAGGGGAAUUUUUUGAAGGAUCUGUGUCUGGCGGUGAGACGGCCAUCUACUCUGAUGGUGAGUCAUCCACGGGCGAGACAAAUUCAUUGUAUCAACUGCAGGACGGUGGGCUUGGGGGCUGUUCCGAUGGCAGCAGUAUUCCGGACCCCUUUGAGCCGCCAAGCAGAGUGGGGAUCUUCAUGGCUGGCAUGCAACCCGGUCAAAACUCUACGGCUGCGGCAGCAAUAACCUCUGGGUCAGUGGCGGCCGUGGCAGGAGGCCCUGCGCGCCCGCUGGCUCAGGUGCUGAUGGAUCUCAUGGAUAGGAUGACAGCCCUGUUAACCGCCGUGGUUAAUCCGGCGGAUCAGGCUCAACAUGAGGCAGAAGUGGCACGGUUACAUGAGGAGGUAGCACAAGGCAAGGAAAACCUAGUAGCAGAGGAUGUUAGGAUGGCCACAGAGUGGGCGGCUUUGGAUGCUCGGGCGCAGCAGAUUCAAUCAGAGGCUUUCCAGCUUAUGAUGGAUCUGAACACAUCAAAUGAGGUCAUGAGGAGAAGGCACCAGAAGGCUAAUUCCCGUCUACCUCCGACUUAUGAUCCUAGAAACCUCUUCCGCACACCCGGUGCAGGCCCCAGUAACCCGCCGGAGGGAAACGGGGUUGCAACGUCCGGGGCUGGGACGCCGGUUCAACCACGGGUGAUGGAACCUCCUCGUAUGAAUACUUCUUCACCUCAUUAUGUACCAACACCACCGGGUCAUUAUUCUAACACUUUGGAGAACAUGGUCACUGCGGCGGCACGAUUGGCGGCUCUCCCGGUGGAGGGCGACUCUCUGACGGCGAUUGAAACACGAAGGGUUAGAGAACUUCAGACGGCUCUGGCGCAGCAGGAGGCAUAUUCGUAUAGUCAAGACAGGAUUCAUUCAACCCCUCGCCCAAGACGGAUCCCGAGUUAUAGCAGGCACAUAGAUUCAGCAGCCGUUUCAAGCAACGCCCAUCGUCGUGACCAGCCGUGCGGGCAUGACCCGGCGCGUUAUGGAGCUCCUAACUUGGUUUACCAGGACAGGAUACGCCAAGAGGCUGAGUGGGCGGUUCAGCAAGCGGCUAAGCGGGCGGCUCAGCGGGCGGCUUACCAGUCUUUUUUGGUUUAUCCGAUGACUUCUAUUGAGGCAGGCGUGACUACGAGGACUGGAGGUGUCCCUUGCCUGAUGCUGGCUCUGCGUAACGAGCGGGUGCCCAAGGAUUUCAAGGGGCCUCGAAAGGUGCCUAAUUACACGGCCGAUUUACAGCCCGGGGCAUGGAUUGAAAGUUAUGAGAUGGCCAUGGAACUACUGGAGGUCAGUGACGCUGCAAUGGCCAAGUACUUCACCAUAAUGUUGGAUGGGAUGGCCCGCACUUGGUUAAAGGGCCUGCCACCUAAUUCCAUUAGUUCAUGGGCAGAGUUAAAGGCCCGGUUUAUUCAGAACUUCAAAGACACAUGCAAGCAGCCCAUGUCAAUUGUGGAUUUGACUAAUUGCAAGCAAGAGGAAGGUGAGUCCACAACCCAUUGGGUGCGCCGGGUCAAAGCCAUAAUACAUUCAUCUGAUAAGAUGGAUGCCGGCUCUGCAGUCUUAAUGUUGGUGAAAAAUUACCGUUUUACGCCUCUGAAACAGAAGCUAGGGCGGCUCAAGCGCGAUUGUAAUGACAUGGGCCAGCUAAUGGCGGCUCUAGUCAAGUACGUUGAUUCUGAUAGUACCAAGGAUCCCAAGUCUGACAAUGAGAAGACAGGGAAGGGAAAGAAGAAUGACAAUGCCAAGGGUCAUCAGCAUAACCCGGCGAAUCAAGGAGGCAAUAAUAAACGUAAGGCUGACGGUAGCUCGAAGUUUGUGGCUAACACCAAUGUGCAGGGCAACAAUCAACGACGUAAGGGGAGACCACCUCCUCGGUCCGGCGGGUCAGGUCCCACUCUUGAGCAGUUGCUAAAUGAGCCAUGUCCAAGGCACGGUACUCAACAGAAACCGGCCACUCACCUAUGGAAGGAAUGUACAAUCAUGAAGGCUUUCAAGAACUCUAACAUGUUCAAUGACAAUCAUGGGCCGGGCGGCGGCGGUUUUCAUGGCUCGGGCGGCGGUUCAAAUUCCAACUUUCAAGGCUCUCAAGGAAAGCAAGGUGGCUAUAAUCAGCAAUCUGGCCAGGGAGGUCAGCAGCAGCAGCAGUGUGGAUAUCAGAGCAAUCCAAAACAACUGAAUAGUGGACAGUAUCAUGUGUUCACCACCAGUUUGUGCAAAAGGGACCACAAGCUUCAUAAGAGGGCUGUGAACGCUGUUGAGCCGACAGUUGCUCGUUAUUUGAGAUGGUCUGAGCAGCCUAUUCUAUGGAGUAGGGAAGAUCACCCUCCCCGGGUUGACAAUCCGGGUCACUUGGCCUUAGUGGUGUCACCUCAGGUUGGUGGAUAUAAAUUCACUAAGGUGCUCAUGGAUGGAGGUAGUAGCAUCAACAUCCUCUAUUAUGAGACUUUUCGUCGCAUGGGUUGACUGAUAAAAAUCUUAAGACAUCCAACACUAUUUUCCAUGGAGUGUUGCCUGGUAAGUCGGCGUACCCAGUGGGUAAGAUUGAACUAGAAGUAGCCUUUGGAGAUGAGCAUGAUUCUAGGGCUGAGAAGUUAACUUUUGAGGUGGUCAAAAUCAAAAGCCCAUAUCACGCCCUGUUUGGAUGGCCGGCUUAUGCCAAGUUCAUGGCACGGUCGUGUUAUGUUUAUCUGCAGCUCAAGAUGCCGGGUCAUAAGGGCACCAUCACAGUGCAUGGGAGUCGGAAGAUAGCCUUGGAAUGUGAGGAAGGCGAUGCUGCUUACGCUGAAUCUGUUUGUGCAACAGAGGAGUUGAAGUUCUACAAGGACAAUGUUGACCCGGCGGACAUGACGUCUUUGAAGAAGCCAACCACAGAACAUGAGCCGGCGCUGAAAUUUAAGUCGGCUGAUGACACCAAGCUUGUCAAUUUUGUUCCAGGUGACUCAUCUAAGCAGUUCAGUAUCAGUGCUAAUCUGGAUCCAAAAUAGGAAAGCGCUCUCAUCGAGUUCAUCCGUGAGAAUCGAGACAUCUUUGCAUGGAAACCUUCUGACAUGUCAGGUGUACCGAGAGAUCUUGCUGAGCACACUCUCAAUAUUGAUCCAAAGUUUAAGCCGGUCAAGCAGUUUCUUCAGCGGUUCAAUGAGGAGAGGCGUAAGGGCAUUGGUGAGGAAGUGGCCCGACUCUUGGCGGUCGGGUUCAUUAUUGAAGUUUUCCAUCCAGAGUGGUUGGCUAACCCGGUGCUCGUGCUUAAAAAGAAUGGCACCUGGCGUAUGUGUGUGGAUUACACGGACUUAAACAAGGCUUGUCCGGCUGAUCCUUUCGCGCUCCCUCGUAUUGAUCAAAUCAUUGAUGCUACGGCGGGUUGUGAGCGUUUGAGCUUUUUGGAUGCUUAUUCUGGUUAUCAUCAGAUCAAGAUGGCAGUUAAGGACCAGGAGAAGAUGGCUUUUAUUACUCCGUUUGGAGUCUUCUGCUAUGUGUCUAUGCCUUUUAGGCUUAAGAGUGCCCAGGCGACUUAUCAGCGAUGUGUGCAGAACUGUCUUCACAGUCAGAUUGGGCGCAAUGUUCAUGCUUAUGUGGACGACAUUGUGGUGAAGUCCAGAGAGAAGGAGACCUUGACAGAUGAUCUGAAGGAAACCUUUGAUAACCUCCGGGUCUACAAGAUGAUGCUUAACCCGGCCAAGUGUGUUUUUGGAGUGCCAGCGGGCAAGCUUUAGGGUUUUCUGGUUUCUAACAGAGGCAUCGAGGCUAACCCGGAGAAGAUCAAGGCAAUCACGUCUUUGGCUAAGCCGGCGUGUAUCAAUGAUGUUCAACGUUUGGCGGGUCGUAUUGCUGCCUUAAGCCGGUUCAUAAGCCGGUUAGGUGAGAAGGCCAUACCGUUGUAUCAGAUGAUGAAGAAGACAGACAACUUUGUCUGGAGUGAUGCUGCUAACGCUGCCUUUGAAGAUUUGAAGAGAUAGCUCGCUGAGCCGUCGGUCCUUGCUGCUCCCAUUGAUAAGGAGCCAUUAUUGUUAUAUGUGGCUGCUAACACACGUGCUGUCAGUGUGGCCAUUGUCGUAGAGCGCAAGUAGGAUGGCAAGGAAUAUCCAGUUCAAUGGCCGGUUUACUACGUCAGUGAGGUGCUUAUUGAGUCCAAGCAAAGAUAUCCACACUGGCAGAAGCUCGUUUAUGGGGUAUUCAUGGCGAGCUGGAAGCUUAAGCAAUAUUUUCAGGGUCAUCCCAUCACUGUGGUUAGUUUUGCUCCUUUAGGAGAUAUCAUUCAAAAUAGAGAAGCCACAGGACGAGUCGCCAAGUGGGCCAUUGAACUUGGGCCUCAUGGUUUAAAGUAUGUGCCACACACUGCUAUCAAGUCCAAGCAUUGGUGGACUUCAUCAACGAUUGGACAGAGCUGUAGAUGCCUGAAGAGAAGCCGGACAACACAUAUUGGACUAUUCACUUUGAUGGGUCCAGACAAUUGGAGGGCUCGGGGGCUGGAGUUGUUUUAGCUUCCCCUGGAGGUGACAAAUUUUGGUAUGUGCUACGGUUGAUGUUUCCCUGUACUAACAAUGUAGCUGAGUAUGAGGCCUUGCUCCAUGGUCUUCAGAUGGCUAAGGAGAUGAGCUUAAGCCGGGUAAGGUGCUUUGGCGACUCAGAUUUGGUGGCUCAACAAGUAUCAGACAAGUGGGAUUCCAAGGAUCCUCUUAUGGCGGCUUAUCGCCAUGAAGUUGAUGCCAUUACUGGACACUUCAAGGGUUACCAAGUGGAGCACAUUGAUCGCAGAAAGGAUGAGGCGGCUGAUGCUUUAAGCCGGCUGGGGUCUCAGCAUAAGCCGGUGCCACCUAACACUUUCUUAGAUAUUCUGCAUAACCCUUCUGUCAAGUUGCCUACAGAGGAAGACUUGGCUGUUCCAGACCCGGAAGCACAAUUGGUGGCGGCUCUUCACGUCAUCCCAGAUUGGACAGUGCCAUAUUUGGCUUAUAUGACCCGGGGCGAGUUGCCUGAGGAUGAAACCCUGGCUAGACAGAUAACCCGGCGGUCUAAGUCAAUGACAAUUGCCAAUGGUGAGUUGCAUCAUCGCAGUGUCACUUGGGCGUUUCAACGAUGUGUCUCUCCUGAGGAAGGUCAAGAAAUUCUUCAUGAAAUCCAUGAAGGAGAUUGUGUCCAUCAUGCCGGUUCAAAGUCUCUUGUGGCCAAAGCUUUCCGUCAUGGAUUUUAUUGGCUGACGGCUCACGCUGAUGCGGAGGAUCUAGUCAGUAAAUGUGAUGGUUGCCAGAAAUUCUCACGACGGGCUCACAUGCCGGCUCAAGAAUUGAGGAUGAUUCCAAUUACUUGGCCAUUUGCAGUCUAGGGGCUCGACAUGGUUGGGCCUUUCAAAAGGUCCAAAGAUAAAAAGACACACCUUCUGGUGGCGGUUGACAAAUUCACAAAGUGGGUUGAGGCAGAACCGGUUAUUAGUGUGACGCAGCCACAACGGUUCAAUUCAUGAAAAAGGUGAUCUUUCGUUUUGGCUUUCCACACAUCAUUAUAACUGACAAUGGUACUAAUCUGUCCAAGGGUGCCAUGGAGGAGUUCUGUCAACGUGAGCACAUCCGGCUUGAUGUUUCAUCAGUAGCUCACCCCCAAUCCAAUGGUCAAGCUGAAAGAGCCAAUCAGGAAAUCUUGAAAAGCAUCAAGGCCUGGAUUAUGGUUCCUUUACAACGGACGCCGGGUUGUUGGGUCGAGGAGUUACCCUCUGUGAUAUGGAGCAUCAAUACCACCCCUAACAGGUCUACGGGUUACACGGCUUUCUUCAUGGUUUACGGAGCCGAAGCGGUUCUCCCUAGUGACAUCCAUCAUGACUCGCCCCGCGUGGCAGCUUAUGUUGAGGCUGAUAAUGAACAAGCACGUCAGGAUGCAUUUGACCUGUUAGAUGAGAAGCGCGACUUGGCAGCAGCCCGCUCGGCGAUUUACCAGCAGGACUUGUGCCGUUAUCACAGCCGCCGGGUUAAGUCCAGAACCUUUCAAGAAGGUGAUUUGGUGCUCCGGCUCAUCCAGGAUCAAACUGACUCACACAAGUUAUCCCCACCUUGGGAAGGGCCCUUUGUGGUCAGCAUGAACUUGCACAACGGGUCAUACUACCUCAUCGAUGUUCGAGAGCACAAAGACUCACGUAAGUCGGAGGAAGAGAACCGUCGGCCGUGGAAUAUCGCUCAUCUUCGGCCUUAAUAUACUUGAGCCACCAGCGCUCAUAAUGUACAUAUUUUGACGAUGUAUAUAUUAUGAUAAGUAAUAAAAUAGGACCUCUGUCCUUUUCAUCCUCAAUGAUCAUAUGUCUUCAUCAUCAUAAUUUUAAAUGACCAAUUGGGGGCUGAUCGUACUCGAAUCCAGCUUAACCCUUUGGUCCGGCUCAUGAUCGCAUUCGAAUCUAGCCGUUAAACCUCAUGAUCACUAGGGGGCUUCCUGUUCAAACAUAGGCCAUAUUCGAACCAAAGAGAACAUAGCUGUCGGUAUCCUCUUGAUCGGCACAAUGCCAAACUCACUAGGGGGCUUCUUGAUCGUAUUCGAAUCAUAGCUUAACCCCUUUUGGGUCUGACUUUGAUCGUAUUAGAAUCAGAGUCGUUACAAAAAAACUCUCAAGGUCAUUCGGGGGCUUCCUAUUCAAACAUAGGUCGUAUUCGAACCAAAGAGAACAUAGCUGUCGGUACCCUCUUGAUCGGCGCAUCGCCAAAGCCACCGGGGGCUAGAUGAUCGUAUUCGAAUCCUAGCUUAACCCAUUUGGUCCGGUUUACUGAUCGUAUUCGAAUCAGAAGCCUCAAAUUUUUCUUUCUAUUUGGUUUAAGUUUUUUGAAAACAAUCUUUGUUUUUGUCUUGAGGCUUUUUAUCCAGAUCUAAGUAUAAGUAUGGUUUAAAUUUAACCCAGCUUGGUUUUGGAUGAUCAGUCGCCAGCGCAUGACAAUCAUCAUACAUGUGGAAGUGUUGGCUUCUAAAGGAUGGGGUUAUCACCCUUACUGUUCAGGUCACAUGAACCGGCAGUGCAAAUUCGAAAUCACAGGUAUGAUACUAUGGUUGUGGUUCAACGCUAUAAUUCAUAACAGGCUUAUCUGUGUCUCUUCUUUCAAUAUUAAUGGUUGUAUGUAAGAUGUUAUGACCCGCCCUGCGGUAAGCCGCCAAGGGUUCUUGUGAUCUAUUUCUGUGUGCAGGACAGUUCAAAGACUUUCUUAUGCAUAAAUAAAACAAAUGAUAAGUUUAAAAAGGGGAGAGUAUAAGGCGGCGGCUUAACAGUGUUGAGCACCAAAACGUGCAUGAUGGCACGACAAAGCAAAGUCAUUUCUACCCUAUUACAUGACUCGCCGAGUCCAAAUGAUUAAAUUGUUUUUCAGCAAGGUACAAAUAUGAGCUGCCCGGCGGUUCAGUCUUCUUGGCCUUGUUGCUUGGAGUCUUCUGCGUCAUCCUUUGCCGGCUCUUCGUCUUCUUCCGCUAGCUGAAAAGUUGGUGAUGACCAAUCGAUACCAGAUAAAGCUUCAUUCAGCUUCAUCAUCUAUAAGCUCAGACAGAUCGACUUCAGGAGCAAAGGUGUGCUUACGAAUUGGCGGGAUUAAGUCCAUCACUCUGUAAGCCGGAGUUGGCAUCUUCUUAUGGUCCCGGUCAUAAGCCGGUUGGUACUUGGAGAGGUCCGAGUCAUUCGCAAUCAUUGUGGCCAUUGGACGGAUUUCCUUUACACAGGCCGCGAAGUCUUUCUGAUUGAAAGGUGUACCAUAUUCUUUCAGACUUGGGUAACCAGUAGCUACCUCAGAUGGAUCAAGCUCUGGUACCCAUGCCUUGGCCCGACUCAAGGCUGUCACGACGCCGGCUCUUGCAGAUGAUCGCUUUAUUUCAUCAAAUCUAACAGGAGCACAUAAAGCUUCUUCAAAACAUCUAUGAACAUAGUUGGUGCUUGACCUGUUGGUGAGAUAGAGGCCAGUGCACGUUGAGUCCCGGUGCACAGCUGUUCAACAAGGGUAUAGAAAACUUUCAGCUUGACAAGCAUGUCUUGAUUGAGGUUGCUGCUCCUGGGACCUGAAUAGAUUGUAGUACGAUUAAGAUGGCGAGUUAUAUGAUCAAAGAUAAUGAUUCACUUCUGAUGCUUGAUAAAGGCGACUCACUGAAGAUGGUUGAAACCAUCUGAUUAACACGGCUUUUUAAAUCGGACAGUUCAGUGGUCGCUUCUUGAAGUGCUGCUUCUGCCUUCUCAGCACGUUGGGUCAAGGCCGUCUUCUCAUCUGCCCAGGAUUUUCUCUCUGCUUCAAAGCCGGUCUUCAAUUUUUCCGACUCAGCCAAGCUAAAUUGGAAUUUGGACUCAGCCUUCCGGGAUUCAGUUUCCUGAGUCGCCAGCUGGCUCUUGGCAUCAUUUAGUUGGGAUUCCAGUUCAGCAGUGGCAGACUGCACAAGGAGCAGAAUUGUCGAAUAUCAGAUUUAUUAGAUUGCAAGUCCCAAGUCUUUUGCCUGCAACAACACUUGACACUUGGGGGCUAAUGUCUAUCGAAGCUAAAUUUUCAAAAAAGCGGCUCUAAUAAAGUCCCAAGUACUUUGCAAGCAAAACUACUUGGCACUUGGGGGCUAAUGCAUACCGUUUGUUUUUUCUUUAUUAUGAGCCGGAAGUAAUGUAACUGUCCUAACCGAUUCAUAGGGGCAAUGCAGUCAAAAUCUUUCUUCUUAUACAAAGACAAACAAGGACCGGCUAAUUCCCAUGGAUUAAGCCGGCCCUUUGGGGCUACGGACGGAAAGUUAAAAUCCGCUUUACAUUUAAACCGGCCAAAGAGGGAUUCUAUGGCAGCAGUUGUGAAUUGUUUUUCAAGUCCACAACCUAUAUUAUCAUAAAUAGUAGACUUGGGGGCUGGCAGGAUAUGUAUACAAAUUACUUAAAGAUGGAAAUUCAUACCUCAUAUUUUUGGUGCAUCUGCUUCACCAUAUCAAUUUUGAGGCCGCGGCUGGAGUGGACCUGGAUGAGAUAGCCGGAGAGGAUCUCAUUGCUGUUUAGUUGGGAGUAUUGAGAAAUAUCAAACUUCUGUUUCCGCCUCUCAAUGACUUCUUGUUUGGCAGUAUGUUUGGCCAGAGCUAUCAGAUUUCCCGGCUCUACAAAGCUGGUGCCAGUAAUCAACACAUCAUCAUUUUGAGGCUCUGACGGCUUAGUUGAGUCGGAGGGGGCAGAAGUUGAAGGACUGAUGGCAGUGCCACCAACGCUAAGUUCCGGAAUCUCAGGAGGGGUGACAGUGACAGUGUCUUCCGGAUGCUUAUUGGAAGCCUCAGGGACAGGUAUUUGUUGUUCCGGCUCAGGGAUUUCCGGUGCUUCUAUUGGCUUGAUCACUUUAGCGUUUUUGUUUGGCUUUGCUUGACCACUACAGAGGUUAUGAAAAGUCAGUAUUAAUAUAAGUACAUAUGAAGGUACAGAGUAAAGCUAAUUGAUAUUACCCAGGGGCAGUCUUGAAAGCCGACAUUUCAGUUUAUGAUGAGCCGUCAGAAGAAGAACGAGCAAGUUCUUGGUCAAUGAUCAUUAAAAGAGUUAAGUAACAAAUAAGCAAGACCCGUUGACAGAUGAGAAGAAUUUUUCGAGUUUAAACACCUCGUUUCGGCGUUUCCGAGGGGCAGGGGUGUUCGGUAAGCCGGAUGAUAAUUCAUCACCUCCGCUGGUCCGGGUCUGGAGAUAGCUUUCAUGCUGUUGUCGUUUCAAAAGAAAGUGAGGAUCUAAAUAAGCCAAGGGGUGUGAAAACCUUACUUUCUGGGUUACUUGUCGAAGUUUCUGUCUUAGCAAAGAUUCUGAGCCGGAGGAAAUAAUAGUUACCUCUUCUUCAACUGCUUGGCUGGCUCCCGUCUCAGCCUGAUAAUAAGCAGUGUCAAUAAGAUGGUUGAAAAAUAAGCCAAGAGAGUCAAGGGCUACCUCCGACUCAGAGGUAUCAUCCAACUUAAGCAUGUCAGAGGCGCUUGGUUUCUUCUUCUUCUUGGUGGUCUUCUUGGCGGUUUUCCUAGCGGCCUUCUUGGCAGCUCUGGCCUUCUUAGCAGCCUCGUGGUCAUAUUCCGCCUUCCAGAAUUCCGACUUACCCUGUAGAGGUUGUCAACAGUUGAGUUAAUCAGAUAUUCGAAUAAUGAGGUGAAGAUACAGUAAAGUUCAGAGGCUUACAUCUGGAGCCGGGUUAAGCUUGCAGAAAGGGGCCAGACCCACUUUGACACAAUCCUCCGGGUCUUGAUUUAAAAGAGACUUCACCAUUUCAUUGAUUGCUUCUUCAGACAAUGGUUCGGAGCUAUGGCGCAGUGAAUCUGUUGUAUCACCACUAUAGGUGCCCAUUAAGCCGGUGCGACGGCUCAACGGGAUGAUCCGCCAAGAAACCCAGCACCUGACUAAAUCAACACCAGUCAGCCCGUUUCCUAGCAGAGCUUUGAUUUUCAUGAUGGUAUGUGCAAUCUUCUUCCGUUCAGCUGCAAAGAGCUUUUCAGGGAGAUUAUGUUUGGGGUCCAGGCGCUCAACACGAUAACCCAGUAGAGGAUUCUCAUCAGCCGGAGAAGUGUCUUUGCAGUAAAACCAUGUCUGAUUCCAGUCUUUAGGGUGACUCGGCAGCAUGGCGUAAGGAAAGAUGGCGUCUCUGCGAUGUUGAAUCGAGAUUCCGCCUAGUUCCAAGCUAGGGCCAUUGGUGAAUGCAGUCUGGCGGUUUAAGUAAAAAUACUCUCGAAAGAGUUCAACACUGGGCUCCUCUUUAAGAUACACCUCACAAAAGACUUGAAAGUUGCAAAUGUUUGACACGAAAUUGGGUUCGAUGUCUUGAGGGUGGUGCUGGAAGAAGUGCAGCACGUCUCGAAAAAACUUAGAGCUGGGCGGUGAGAAACCCCAGUUCAUGUGGUCAGUAAAGACAAUGACUUCGCCGUCUUUUGGUUGGGGUUUCUCUUCACCCGGGUUAGGAGCACGAUAAUGCAUCACGCUCUUGGUGGGUAAAUAUCCGAUUUUGAAAAAAAAAUCCUUGAGGGUGCUCUCGGUGACGAUGGAAGGGACCCAAUUGCAGGUGUACACUAUUUUAGGCGGCAUUGUGGAAGAAAACCUAAAGGAAAGAAAUAUUGCCGAUUCAAACUUAAGCCGGAGAGGAAAAUAUUACAGUGCAUAUUCAAGAUGGCGGCUUACAAAGGGGCCUAAUGGUAUAUGACUAAAUUAUGUCAGGUUAUGUAAACCGCCAUGAGCAGUGCAAAUUAUUUAAGCCGCCAUGAUAAGUUGGAUGAUGUCUGUUGAGCAUUUCAAUUUAAGUCGGCAAUUUGAGCCACCAUGGCUAGGUGGAUCUAACAAAUGCAGUUUUUGCCUAAGUGUUAUACAAAAAAGUUUCAUAGGCUGCAACUAUUAUUUCGGAUCAACGUUUGUUCAGGAAAAGAAAAAUAAAUCUAGACCUAAAAACCAGUACAGAUGAGUUCAUGAGCUUUCACAAGAUUUUUCUUCCAGGAAAGGGAAUCUACUGAUAUCAAAAGUGGGAAUAAAACAACUACCGCAUUGGUUGAACACCAUUUUUAGAUCAAAGAAGCUCGCGGUACAGCCUGGAAGAUGAACUACGAAGAACACAGAGAAACUCGCAAACCCGAAUGCGGAUCUGAGGUAUGGGAAGGCAGAAAUUUACAGCUGCAGAUCUACUGCGGAGGGUCGCCGCCGUUCUCUAGAUCGACUCAGGUUGAUGCAGCGGCCGAGGUUGAGGAAGACGAGGUGCUCUGCGGCGGCAGUGGAGCUCGAGCGGCAGAAGGGUUGCGAGAGGAAGAAGACGCUGGAAAGGGGGAGAAUGAGGAAAGACCGGUCGUGCCUAUUUAUAAGGAGACUCUUAAGUGGGAGCGAAAAACGAGGAGGCCAAAAAUAUGGUUAUCCAGCUACCAGGACGCCUCGAUUCUUGGGAUGGUCAUUAAGAUAAGGAUCCAUUGAGAUACGUUGGAUAAAGUGUGAAGUAAUGGCAGAUGACAUCAUGGCGGGUAAUCACAAAUCCAGAAGAUGACGUCAUGGCGGGUUACAAAUUCUCGCACAAUGAAGAGCAGAAAAUUUUAUGUAAGUGUUGAAGAUUGACAUGAACCAGCUCAAAUCAAUCUGGGGCCUAAUGUUGGGAAUAUAACUAUUAGGUAUGACCCGCCCAGGAGGGGCCGGGUUAUACCUAUGGCAAUUCAUGAAGCCCAAGACAGCUCUGGAAGAUGGCGGUUCAGUUAAGGACCCAAGGCCCAAAGGCGACUCAAGGCCCGUAGAGAUAAAUCGCCAUAUGUACAUAACUUGUAUUGUAAGGUAGGGAUAGUUAGAGACCGAGCCGGACACUGUUUAUGAGCCGGCCGGGACUCUGUGAGCCACUGGACGUCGACCUCUGUAUAUAAAGGGACGACCCGGCAGCGGUUCAGGGGAAGUAACAUCAGAUCGAAAGCUAGGUCAAGCGGAUUCGCUCCCUAGUAAUCGAAACAUAAGCAAUACCACCUCAAACUGGAUUAGGCCUUUACCUUCACCGCAAGGGGCCGAACCAGUAUAAACCCUCGUGUCCUUUAUCCCGUUUUAACCCCUUUAAGCUUCCUAGUUGCGAUGGCUCCACGAUUAAGUCCUUUCCCUAGGACAUCUGCCGUGACAAUUCCACGACACUAGGCGGCAGAAUUUUAAGAGAGGAUUGCAAGAAAAUAAUAACUUAAACUAGCCAGGGUUGAUGACAAAGAAAUCCUAAACAGCAAGGGGAAAUUCAGAUUUUACUCAUUGUCUUUUUGGUAUUUUCAUAAUGCUUGAGAAGUUAAAAUACUAAUACGAGCAUACAUCAAUGACAAGAGAAGUGAAAGGACAUGAACGUAACAUGACAAGGACACAUAUAUAACUAUCAAACAUGUACCAGAGGAAAGAAACAAGAUAAUAUGAAAGGGACAAAUAUAUAUCACAACACAAACAUAUAUAUUUUCACAUGAACAUAGUUAACACAAGAACUAUGGUAUAAACAUAACCACACAUAUGGGAACAAAGUACUACACCAAGGUUCAGGUUACACGAGUGACAACACAAACGAAAUUACACAAGCCACUAAACUAGUACUCGCAGAUCAACAGAAGCAGCAAGACAGAGAGGAAAGGCAUGCAGGGGAUCAGACUCCCCUGUGAUGGUGUCUUGUCAGGGGCGUGAGUAGGAGCAGUAGUGAAGGGGUUCAGAGAAGAAUCAAGAGAAGCGGCAGAGGGAGUAAGUAGCAGGAGCGCAUAGAGAAGAAGCAGC